GUUUAAGUAGUUUAUAAUAAAAUAUUGAUUUGUGGUGUCAAUGAAGUAGAAUUUUUACCUUAAACC
Molecule: transfer RNA, 66 nt
Filed under: Shoveliteratura triangula
Lineage: Eukaryota; Metazoa; Arthropoda; Insecta; Orthoptera; Tettigoniidae
Description: tRNA-His
Source: RNAcentral